Anas platyrhynchos (mallard) is the source of this 541-nucleotide long non-coding RNA. RefSeq lists it as uncharacterized. The record is from RefSeq and is a predicted model, not a curated record. Lineage: Eukaryota; Metazoa; Chordata; Aves; Anseriformes; Anatidae.
AUAUGGCUUAUCACCAUUACUUGUAUAUGGCUUAUCUCCGUUGUUGUAUGCCUUUCAGAACAGUAUGCAUUUGCAGCAGCGUAUGCUCUGUGUGCUGAAGAGAUGUUACUGCUUCCUUCCACUUUGCAUCAUUUCCUGUACUCAGCAUGUUCGUUUUUUUGUAGUCUUUGGAAUCAGCUAGACAAGUGUGAAUGGGAUGUGCUGCAGUAAAAUGAAUGAGAAGGAAAUUCAGAAGGACUCCUUCUGACGUGGUUAGUAGAAAAUUGGGUGUGAACUUCAGGUUUAAUUUCUUCUGGAAGCCUAUGUUCAACUCGAGAAGUUUGGGCAGCAGAUCUAUGAUUAUUUAUUUAUUUAUUUAUUUAUUUAUUUAUUGUUUUGUUUAUAUUGUGGUAUGUGACCACUCUUGAAGGAUUUUAACAUUUUAAGUUUCAAGUCAGGUGAUUGUCACUGGUAAAAUAGGGCAGAUUCUUUCUUUGCAUCUCCAUGCUGUCUCCGCAGCACUGUUUCCCCUAAACAUUGAAUAAACUGGGCUUUUCUCUCA